RNAcentral lists this ribosomal RNA (449 nucleotides) under uncultured bacterium. Its description in RNAcentral is "SSU rRNA". It matches the Rfam family "Bacterial small subunit ribosomal RNA", at positions 26 to 518 of the family's 1533-position model. The record is from RNAcentral.
AGAACGAACGCUGGCGGCAGGCUUAACACAUGCAAGUCGAACGCGUGUAGCAAUACACGAGUGGCGCACGGGUGAGUAACGCGUGGAUAUCUGCCUUUUGGUUCGGAAUAACCCCGGGAAACUGGGGCUAAUACCGGAUGGUUCCUACGGGAUAAAGAUUUAUCGCCAAAAGAUGAGUCCGCGUCCGAUUAGCUAGUUGGUGGGGUAAUGGCCUACCAAGGCGUCGACGGGUAGCUGGUCUGAGAGGACGAUCAGCCACACUGGAACUGAGACACGGUCCAGACUCCUACGGGAGGCAGCAGUGGGGAAUCUUGCGCAAUGGGCGAAAGCCUGACGCAGCAACGCCGCGUGGGGGAUGAAGGCUCUCGGGUUGUAAACCCCUUUCAGUAGGGACGAAAUCAGACGGUACCUACAGAAGAAGCCCCGGCCAACUACGUGCCAGCAGCCGC